ACGACACUAACCUGAUGAAAGGUGCUAUACAGAUGAUUGAUUGAUUGAUUGAUUGAUUGAUUGAUUGAUGGACUGAUUGAUUGAUUGAUUGAUUGAUUGAUUGACUGAUUGAUUGAUUGACUGAUUGUAUAUCCUACAGAUCCGGGGUGGUGAUGAUGCAGUGACCUACAGCACUGUGGAAGCUCCCUCCUCUUCUACUGGACCCUCAGCUGAUCCCAGCAGCCAUGGAGAGACUCGUCCCGGUGAUUCCUCCACGGAGCAGCAGUGAAGACAGGGUCCCAGUUAAAGAUGGUGGUGAAGGUGAUGCAGUGACCUACAGCACUGGUUCUCAAACUCUUUUCAACAAUGUUCCCCCUUUGAAAUAUGUUUUCAGCCAAGUGCAACACAGCAUCAGUAUCAAUGUAUCUCACCAAAGCAAUAAGCUGUGUCUUUCCACUGACGUCUGUCCAUUCAUCCAGCUGCAGUGAAAAUGCUUCAGCAGGUUUUUGCACAACUUCAUCAACAAUGUCUGUUCCCAUCGUUUCUAUUCUGCAGCAACGGUGUCAUUUGACAAAGGCCCAGUUUAGAACUGAUCUGCUGUGUUUGUGUCCAGCAUCGUCUCGUCAGUACAGCAGCGGCUGGAAGUAGCAGGUCCUCAGCUGUGGUGAAAGGCCUUUUGGCUUCAGCAUGAGAAGCCUCCAGUGCUUUGGCUGAUGUUGUGGAGACUUUUCACAUCGUUUCUUGUGAAACUAUGAAGUCAGACUGUUUCUUCUUGAGAAACUCUGGUGUCUUACCGACAUGACACUGAUGUUUUGUGCUGAGAUGUCGCUGCAGCUGCGCUGGCUUCAUGCAACUGUUUGCUAACUUUUCCUCACAGAAAAUGCACAAUGCUUUGGGCCGAUUGCAGCUCGUCGAAGUAAAUCCCAUUAAAACAUAUUCUUCAUGAUACUGGC
Long non-coding RNA from Hippoglossus stenolepis (Pacific halibut), 932 nucleotides. RefSeq lists it as uncharacterized. The transcript is spliced from 2 exons. The record is from RefSeq and is a predicted model, not a curated record. NCBI's taxonomy places the organism in Eukaryota, Metazoa, Chordata, Actinopteri, Pleuronectiformes, Pleuronectidae.